UUGAGUUAAUUAUUGUAUAUGGUGUGAGGCAGAGCCAAGGUGAUGUUUCAAAAACAAACCAGACUCAGUGACUCCGCUUCUUAAAAUUCUCUACUGGCUUCCGGCUGCUCUUAGAACACAAUCCUAGUUCCUCGCCCCAAGGUUUUCAGCCUCAUCUCAGCGCCCACGCACCCCCUCCCAACCCCCCCAGGCCUAGUUUGCUGGAGCCAUGGCUGCCUUCUCACAGUUCCUAAUCCCUAAACUCAUUCUGACUGGUGUUUUUGCAAUGCUGUUCCCUACGCCGGAAACAGAAUUUCUAGUGGCUACUGCCCUUCUUUCGAUCUCAGUGUAAAAGUGCCUUCUUCAGUUAAGACCUUGGCUGACCACUCUACAUGAGAUAUCCAAACACCUAAGAAGUGAGCCCAAGAGAUGAUUGAAACUUUUGAUCCGGGAAAUAACUCACACAUUUGUUUUGCUUUGCUAUAAUCUUCAGAGGUGUGUAUCAUGUUGCCAAGUCCCAGGUUUUUAAAAAACAGAUUUUCCUUUGGGCUUCCCCCCUCCCACCUUUCAUCCCGGUAAUAUUUUCUCCUAUCUCUCAUCUUCUAAAAAAAAAGUAGGUGUAACAGUCUAAUCAGCCUUUACCAACUUUUCUGCAAGAACAAGGCAGAAAAUACGAAGAUAUACAUCAAGAAUUGUUAUUAUUGUUUAUGUAGUAGUGAUAUAUGACUCCCCUGGGCUUUGUGUUUUACAUGGCCACUUUGAAAACACAGGAUGCUGUUCAGGCACAAGCGAUUUGUUUCUGAGUCCUGUGCUUGGAUAUUUCUAAUAAAUAUAUUCUGCCUCUGAUUUUAUGAUAUCAACAAGAUACCCAUGCAAUAAAAUAUUUUCAGAUUC
Molecule: long non-coding RNA, 873 nt
Organism: Leopardus geoffroyi (Geoffroy's cat)
Lineage: Eukaryota; Metazoa; Chordata; Mammalia; Carnivora; Felidae
Exons: 2
Source: RefSeq, a predicted model, not a curated record